This 669-nucleotide long non-coding RNA is filed under the name Homo sapiens (human). RNAcentral's name for it is "long independently transcribed non-coding RNA 3043 (LINC03043)". The record is from RNAcentral. Lineage: Eukaryota; Metazoa; Chordata; Mammalia; Primates; Hominidae.
GCUCCUUCAUUUUGAGCCAAAUCAGAUAGGCAUGUAAAAAGAUUUUCUGUUGGUAUAGCUGGCACUCUUGUUUCAGUAGGAGGACCACGCUGGGUAUCCAACUUGAGAGACGUUAAAGUGAAGCAGGCAGAAAUCCGCUUCUGAGAGAGGGCUUCCUGAGAGUGAUGGUGAAAGUUACUGGAAGUAAUGGGAGCAGAAAGGGUUUGUACCAAGGCUCCUGAAAUCACGCAGGAUGAAGCAGAAAUCUACUCUUUGACAAACAUGGAGGGCAAUAUUGGAAUCAAAGGAUGUGAGUUCAAGUCUUGGCUCUUCAAAUUCUAUCAGGCUCGCUCUCAAGUUCUUUUGUGCGGUGAAGUCAAGAAUCCGUACCUGCUCACCAGCAACAAAACCACAGUGAAGGAGCAGAAUGCCUGUCUGACUCACCCUGACAGAUCAGCUAUGGCAGGUCUGCUGUUGUAGAAAAUUCUUCACCCCAGAGGCUUUAUCUCUCCUGCAGGGAAGGCUCAUGAGCAAAUGCUGUCAUUAGCAACCAUGCAUUGUUGAAGACAUAUAGUGAGAAAAUAUGUCAGGUAUUGUUUCAAUGUACCAAUGUUAGUAGAAAAUCCUGAAGAAUUUUCGAGAUAUUAACUGUAGAUUAAAACAACCUUUAACCUAAAUCCUGAGAAUUUC